AGAGUUUGAUCCUGGCUCAGAUUGAACGCUGGCGGCAUGCUUUACACAUGCAAGUCGAACGGCAGCAUGGGUGCUUGCACCUGAUGGCGAGUGGCGGACGGGUGAGUAAUGCAUCGGGACGUGUCUGUAAGAGGGGGAUAACUGUUCGAAAGAACAGCUAAUACCGCAUAAUAUCCGAGGAAGAAAGCUGGGGACCUUAGGGCCUGGCGCUUACAGGGCGACCGAUGUCUGAUUAGCUAGUUGGUAGGGUAAAAGCCUACCAAGGCGACGAUCAGUAGCUGGUCUGAGAGGACGACCAGCCACACUGGGACUGAGAAACGGCCCAGACUCCUACGGGAGGCAGCAGUGGGGAAUUUUGGACAAUGGGGGCAACCCUGAUCCAGCAAUGCCGCGUGUCUGAAGAAGGCCUUCGGGUUGUAAAGGACUUUUGUUGGGGAGCAAGGUGCACAGGUUAAGAGCUAGUGUACUUGAGAGUACCCAAAGAAUAAGGACCGGCUAACUACGUGCCAGCAGCCGCGGUAAUACGUAGGGUCCAAGCGUUAAUCGGAAUUACUGGGCGUAAAGAGUGCGCAGGCGGCUUUGUAAGCUUGAUGUGAAAUCCCCGGGCUCAACCUGGGAACUGCAUUGAGGACUGCAAGGCUAGAGUGUAGCAGAGGGGGGUAGAAUUCCACGUGUAGCAGUGAAAUGCGUAGAGAUGUGGAGGAAUACCGAUGGCGAAGGCAGCCCCCUGGGUUAACACUGACGCUCAUGCACGAAAGCGUGGGGAGCAAACAGGAUUAGAUACCCUGGUAGUCC
RNAcentral lists this ribosomal RNA (795 nucleotides) under uncultured bacterium. Its description in RNAcentral is "bacterial SSU rRNA". It matches the Rfam family "Bacterial small subunit ribosomal RNA", at positions 8 to 796 of the family's 1533-position model. The record is from RNAcentral.